RNA transcript from Solanum stenotomum, 1709 nucleotides. It is a transcript of the gene named autophagy-related protein 16-like, with no coding region annotated. The transcript has 4 exons. Lineage: Eukaryota; Viridiplantae; Streptophyta; Magnoliopsida; Solanales; Solanaceae. The record is from RefSeq and is a predicted model, not a curated record.
UUUUGUGUUAGGGCAUACAAAGAAGUUGCAAUAGAAGCAGUAGAACAUGCUCUAAAGGCCCUAAGAAAUCGGCAUUUAGUGGAAGAAGGGGCUUAUGCCCCCCUGCUUUGGCUGCUUUCAAUAGGUCUCCCAUUUUGCAGGGUUCAGACUGGAAAGAGAAAGCUAAAAAUCUUGAAGUGGAACUUCAACAGUGUUACAAAGAUCUAGCACUACAGUCAGUGCAGCUUGUGGUCGAAAAAACUGAAUCCAGAGCAUCAAAAUCUUUACUUCAGGAGAAGGAAACUCUCAUUACUGACCUUCAAAAUGCGCUAAAUCAAGCAAGGGAUGAAUGUUCACGUUUAACUGAACUUCUUGAGGAAAAGAGUAAAUCUUUGGAAUUGAUUAUAUCCAAGCAUCAGGAGCUUAAGGCACAACGUGAAGCAGUUACUCGGAGGGCAGAAACUAAAAUAUUGGUUGACCAAUGGUGGCUGCAGAAGAUGCAGGAUGCUGAGCGCCUUAAUGAGUCUAAUGCUCUCUAUGAAAAUAUGCUUGAUAAGUUCAAGAUCGCCAGUAUAAAGAAACUUCCUCGUCCACAGGUGGACGGUGUGGUCCCCCAAAGUGAAGAUGCUGCAGAAGCUUACUUUGAGUCUUCCAUUCCUAGUACAUGCUGGCAAAGGAUCCCCGCCCAUGAUGGUGGAUGUACCUCGAUUCUUUUUGAUUAUAAGUCCAGUAAAUUGAUAAGUGGUGGGCAGGAUCGGGAAGUUAAAAUUUGGGAUACUAGAAGUGGAACAUUAAGUAACAUUCUUUAUGGUUGUCAGGGUUCGGUCCUUGAUCUUUCCAUUACACAUGAUAACAUCAUAGCAGCAAGUAGUUCAAAUGCCUUGUAUGUGUGGAAUGCAAAUUCAGGCAGGAUAGACCAUAUUCUUAAUGGGCACAUCAACAAGGUUUGUGCAGUUGAUGUGAGCAGACCUUCAAGUCCCUAUGUGGUGAGUGCUGCAUAUGAUCGCACAAUAAAAGUUUGGGAUCUGCAGACGGGUUACUGUAACAACACUAUCAUAUUUCACAGUAACUGUAACAGCCUUUCGUUAAGCACGGAUGGACUGACUCUCUGUUCCGGUCAUGUUAAUGGUAAUCUUAGAUUAUGGGAUGUUCAAACAGGCGAGCUUCUGAGUGAAGUUGCUGCACAUUCAAAGGCUGUUACAUCAGUUUCACUCUCUCAAUAUGGAAACAUGAUAUUAACCAGUGGGAGAGACAACUUGCACAAUCUAUUCGAUAUACGCACCCUUGAAAUUUGUAGCACUUUCAAAUCAAAUGCAAAUCGAGUUGGAUCUGAUUGGAGCCGAUCCUGUAUUAGUGCCGAUGACGGUUAUGUUACUGCAGGUUCUGCUGAUGGAUCUGUUCAUAUUUGGUCAGUAUCAAACGGUAAAAUGGUAAGAACAUUGAAAGAACACACAUCCUCUGUACUUAGUUGUUUAUGGGGUGGUUUUGGUAAUCCUUUGGCCACCUCAGAUAAGAGUGGAACCAUAUGCAUUUGGUCAUGAUAUCAGUUCAAAGAUUGCUCAGUAAUUGAGAUUUCAGUGAGGAUCACGAGUGUCAUUGUUGAUUUUUAGUUUUCUUAAAGCACAAAGUUGGUCAUCAUAGUGAUUGUGAAGCCAUAAAUGAGCAUCGUCCAUAUAUAAACAUCAUGCCAAAAGGGGCUGACAUUGUAAUAUUAAGCUGAUUUUUUAAGA